UACGGGGGGAGCAAGCGUUGUUCGGAUUUACUGGGCGUAAAGGGCGCGUAGGCGGUCGUGACAAGUCACUUGUGAAAUCUCCGGGCUUAACUCGGAACGGUCAAGUGAUACUGUCGGACUAGAGUACAGAAGGGGCAACUGGAAUUCUCGGUGUAGCGGUGAAAUGCGUAGAUAUCGAGAGGAACACCUGCGGCGAAGGCGGGUUGCUGGGCCGGCACUGACGCUGAUGCGCGAAAGCCAGGGGAGCGAACGGG
RNAcentral lists this ribosomal RNA (254 nucleotides) under uncultured bacterium. RNAcentral's name for it is "partial 16S ribosomal RNA". It matches the Rfam family "Bacterial small subunit ribosomal RNA", at positions 524 to 776 of the family's 1533-position model. The record is from RNAcentral.